UUCUAAAGAGUUCCUUUUCUCUUCUUGAAUAUAAGCCAUUUAACAAUGUGAGACAUGCCUUUUGUGGUUAUUUGUAACAUCCUGUAUGUUUCUGGAGUACUUUGAUGCCUUGGAUUGGACGCUCACUUAAAAGAUGAACUUUUGAGGGUGUGUUUUCUAUUGUGUGGGGCUUUUGUCGAAAUUAGGAUUCCGAAACACGUUUUUCUACGGUGGGUUCAUUCGACAGCGAUUUACUUUCUUAGAAAUUGCGAGACGGUAUGUUUUUGAUUGCAAUUAUUGGAAGAUGACAGAUCCAUCUUUAAAAUGAUACCAGGUUCGGAAAAAUUGAUACGUCGGAAAGGCAAGAAAAAUGCUGUGAAAGUUGUCAGUUUUAUAAUGGGACCCUAUGGGAAUCGGAAUAAGUGUAAUAUAACCUUUAAAAAGCACAUUUACUGCAAUGUCAAGGUCACAUGGAUUCGUCUGCAAGCGAGACAAGUAGAAAAUGAAUUUUAAUGAAUGUUUUGAUGAUUUGGGAGCUAAAAUAGAUGAGAGAUGUCAAUAUUUUGGUCCAAAUGGAUGUUUUAGGUGGUUUUGGACUGUUCCGGAUGGGUGGGGGACCUGGUAUGGACAAGUAAGGGUAACAUUUCCAACAAAUCUUGAAUGUAAAUAUUAUUUUGUCCAUAGAUUGAAGUUUCAGGUGGAGAGCAAGAUGAAAAAUAUGCCAAAUUACAUGCAUGCAACCCAUUUAUGCCAUUUUUCUCUUUGUUUGUAGGCCUGACCGUUUGUCCUUGAGCCGUAGAUGGUCAACAAUCCGCUAGCUGUCUUGCUCUGACUGGUGCACUGGACAUGAUUUCAAUAGUCAGCCAGACCAUGAUUGAGCUUAAGGAUGGUGCUGCGGAUGCAGCCUGUGCAGUUCCGGGAGAAAGUCACUGUCUUGGGCAAUGCGGUCUGGUAUCAGGUCUGGAUGAUCCUUGCCUGACUGCGGGUUUGUGUACACCUCAAUCCGACUCUGUGUCCUGAACAGAGGCCGCAGUGGUGCAGCGCUUGUGGACGAUCCAUCAACAUCCUGAAAGGUCAACACUACACCAAGCUGGGAAAAUUGAUCCUGAUAGUCAUCCCCAGGUAGUGGAAUGAAUGUACACUGAACUACAGAGGAAUCAAACCCAAAUGACUUUCCUGCCACGACAUUAGUGUGGCCACUCGCGUAGGAAUUCCUUAGCAAACAUGCUCUUUUGCAUGGUGACUGUGGGCAUUUUUGCAAAACUUACGCUUUCAACACUGGAUUUUAAAGAGAAUACUUAAUAAAAUGUCGCUAACAGGACUUAUUUAUAUGAGAGAGACUAUCUGGAUGCGCAUUAAGUGCC
Long non-coding RNA from Dreissena polymorpha, 1343 nucleotides. RefSeq lists it as uncharacterized. NCBI's taxonomy places the organism in Eukaryota, Metazoa, Mollusca, Bivalvia, Myida, Dreissenidae. The transcript has 3 exons. The record is from RefSeq and is a predicted model, not a curated record.